Molecule: ribosomal RNA, 231 nt
Filed under: uncultured Acholeplasma sp.
Lineage: Bacteria; Bacillati; Mycoplasmatota; Mollicutes; Acholeplasmatales; Acholeplasmataceae
Description: partial 16S ribosomal RNA
Rfam family: Bacterial small subunit ribosomal RNA
Source: RNAcentral
AGUAAACUAGGAGGAAGGUGGGGGAGUGACGUCAAAUCAUCAUGCCCCUUAUGACCUGGGCUACAAACGUGAUACAAUGGCUGAAACAAAGGGACAGCGAAGCAGUGAUGUGAAGCGAAACCCAAAAAAGACAGUCUCAGUUCGGAUUGAAGUCUGCAACUCGACUUCAUGAAGUCGGAAUCGCUAGUAAUCGCGAAUCAGAACGUCGCGGUGAAUACGUUCUCGGGGUUU